UUUCAGAGAUGAGAAUGUGCCUUCGGGAACCGUGAGACAGGUGCUGCAUGGCUGUCGUCAGCUCGUGUUGUGAAAUGUUGGGUUAAGUCCCGCAACGAGCGCAACCCUUAUCCUUGUUGCCAGCGGUCCGGCCGGGAACUCAAAGGAGACUGCCAGUGAUAAGCUGGAGGAAGGUGGGGAUGACGUCAAGUCAUCAUGGCCCUUACGACCAGGGCUACACACGUGCUACAAUGGCGCAUACAAAGAGAAGCGACCUCGCGAGAGCAAGCGGACCUCAUAAAGUGCGUCGUAGUCCGGAUUGGAGUCUGCAACUCGACUCCAUGAAGUCGGAAUCGCUAGUAAUCGUAGAUCAGAAUGCUACGGUGAAUACGUUCCCGGGCCUU
This 383-nucleotide ribosomal RNA is filed under the name uncultured Enterobacteriaceae bacterium. Its description in RNAcentral is "bacterial SSU rRNA". It matches the Rfam family "Bacterial small subunit ribosomal RNA", at positions 998 to 1382 of the family's 1533-position model. The record is from RNAcentral. Lineage: Bacteria; Pseudomonadati; Pseudomonadota; Gammaproteobacteria; Enterobacterales; Enterobacteriaceae.